GACGAACGCUGGCGGCGUGCUUAACACCUGCAAGUCGAACGGAAAGGCCCUGCUUUUGUGGGGUGCUCGAGUGGCGAACGGGUGAGUAACACGUGAGUAACCUGCCCUUGACUUUGGGAUAACUUCAGGAAACUGGGGCUAAUACCGGAUAGGAGCUCCUGCUGCAUGGUGGGGGUUGGAAAGUUUCGGCGGUUGGGGAUGGACUCGCGGCUUAUCAGCUUGUUGGUUGGGUAGUGGCUUACCAAGGCUUUGACGGGUAGCCGGCCUGAGAGGGUGACCGGCCACAUUGGGACUGAGAUACGGCCCAGACUCCUACGGGAGGCAGCAGUGGGGAAUAUUGCACAAUGGGCGGAAGCCUGAUGCAGCAACGCCGCGUGCGGGAUGACGGCCUUCGGGUUGUAAACCGCUUUCGCCUGUGACGAAGCGUGAGUGACGGUAAUGGGUAAAGAAGCACCGGCUAACUACGUG
This 468-nucleotide ribosomal RNA is filed under the name uncultured bacterium. RNAcentral's name for it is "partial 16S ribosomal RNA". It matches the Rfam family "Bacterial small subunit ribosomal RNA", at positions 28 to 507 of the family's 1533-position model. The record is from RNAcentral.